Peromyscus maniculatus bairdii (prairie deer mouse) is the source of this 854-nucleotide non-coding RNA. Lineage: Eukaryota; Metazoa; Chordata; Mammalia; Rodentia; Cricetidae. The record is from RefSeq and is a predicted model, not a curated record.
UACAAUGAUGAUGAAUAUUUUUAAUACCUAUGUUGGAAUACUGAGAAGAUUCCAUUGAGUCAAGAGUCAGAGGAAAAGGGAAGAUGAUUAUCCUAGGAAGUGAAUUACAGACAUAGAAACAGCACAAAUUCUCUAAGGCAAUAUAUGUAUGAAGAAUGCAGAAGAAAAGUUUAGUGCUGGGAGAGUAAGAUUCCAGCUCCAGCUGGGUUGCAUACCAGAGACUCUGGAAUCUUCUAGGACUUAGAAACUGCUGAGACAUCUGACUUCAUGAGUUGAACAGUCCAGGGCAGGAAAGUAUUGGGAUCUUCUACCAACAACACUCUGUGCUUUGGAAGUUGUAUCCUGAGAAGCUUCCAAGCGAAUGCUUUCCUGCACACUGACAUUGGACUGUUUGAUCUGAACAUGCAUUAAAUUGGACCCACAUUAAAUGCUGAAGAUGGACCAGGCUAGAUAUGACUCAUUUGCUCAGAAUAUCAAAAAUAGUUGGCUAAUUCUCAGGAGGAAUCGUUGGUUCUUUGGAAGCACUAAGAAGAGGGCGGUGUUCCCAAAUUCAGGUUGUGUAUGUUGUAGGAGUGGGAAUCCAGACUGGAGGGAGCAAGAAAUUGUAAAUUUCUAAAAUGUCAAGUGAGUUGUACAGAUUGGUGAAUGAGAAGACACCCUUAAACUAACCAUUCCUGAGACAGGAGUGGAUCUGCAUCUACCCUUGUCAUAGAGAACCAAGAAUUUCACCCAUUGCACAUGUCAGUCAUACAGAGAAGGGUGGUACUUUGUAGCAGACUACUUUUAGAAUAUACUAAUAUGGGGAGGUGUCUUUGUUGUUUUCUCAGAUCAUGUGUUUCAGUUAAAUUUUUGUU